RNAcentral lists this ribosomal RNA (236 nucleotides) under uncultured bacterium. RNAcentral's name for it is "partial 16S ribosomal RNA". It matches the Rfam family "Bacterial small subunit ribosomal RNA", at positions 541 to 776 of the family's 1533-position model. The record is from RNAcentral.
UUGUUCGGAAUUACUGGGCGUAAAGUGCCAGUAGGCGGCCAACUAAGUCACACGUGAAAUCCCCAGGCUUAACCUGGGAACUGCGUGUGAUACUGGAUGGCUUGAAUUCGGGAGAGGGAUGCAGAAUUCCAGGUGUAGCGGUGAAAUGUGUAGAUAUCAGGAGGAACACCAAUUGCGAAGGCAGCUCGCUGGAACGUAACUGACGCUGAGACGCGAAAGCGUGGGGAGCAAACAGG